This 230-nucleotide ribosomal RNA is filed under the name uncultured bacterium. Its description in RNAcentral is "partial 16S ribosomal RNA". It matches the Rfam family "Bacterial small subunit ribosomal RNA", at positions 562 to 791 of the family's 1533-position model. The record is from RNAcentral.
AAAGGGUCCGUAGGCGGUUUAAUAAGUCAGUGGUGAAAUCUGGUCGCUCAACGAUCAAACGGCCAUUGAUACUGUUAAACUUGAAUUAUAAGGAAGUAACUAGAAUAUGUAGUGUAGCGGUGAAAUGCUUAGAUAUUACAUGGAAUACCAAUUGCGAAGGCAGGUUACUACUUAUGGAUUGACGCUGAUGGACGAAAGCGUGGGGAGCGAACAGGAUUAGAUACCCUGGU